RNAcentral lists this ribosomal RNA (490 nucleotides) under Metopograpsus frontalis. RNAcentral's name for it is "partial 12S ribosomal RNA". Lineage: Eukaryota; Metazoa; Arthropoda; Malacostraca; Decapoda; Grapsidae. The record is from RNAcentral.
AAUUAUUAGUAGUAAAAGGUGAAAUUAGAUUGUUAUUAAAUAAUUAAAAUAUAUCAAAACUGAAGCUAAAAAAGUUUGAUUAAAGACUAGGAUUAGAUACCCUAUUAUUUUAAAUUUAAAUAUUAAUAAACUCUAGAUAAGUAGUAGAUAGGUACUUAAAAAUUAAAAAAUUUGGCGGUGAUUUAAUCUUUUCAGAGGAACUUGUUUUUUAAUCGAUAAACCACGUUUAAUCUUACUUAUUUUGGUAUAAACAGUAUGUAUACCAUCAUUAACAGGUAAUUUUAAAAGAAAAAAUUACUAAAAAUAAUUAAUUAAAAAAAUUAGAUCAUGGUGCAGCUUAUAAAUAAGGUAAAAUGAGUUACAAUAAAGUUUUUUAUAUGAAUUAGUAAAGGAAGAGUUUACUAUAAAGGUGGAUUUGAUUGUAAAUGUGGAUUAAUAAGCUUAUUUGAUAUUGGUGCUAAAUCAUGUACAUAUCGCCCGUCGCUUUCGC